CAUACAUUUUUAAAGAACUCGUGGUCAGUCUUCAAACUACAUAUUUUCAAAUAAGUUCAAGAGUCAUUCAGAUUUUUUUUCGAAACGAGAAUGUUCAAAUUGUAGUAUUUUUGUGUGUUUUUGUCGUUAUUUUAAUUUCAAUCGAGCUAGUAUCUUUUGGAAGAUGAUACCAAAGGUUUUGGAUUUGUUUUCUCCGUUUUUCCUCAAAAUUUGUUUCUAGAUUCCUCACGUUGGGAGAAAAUCGUUAUCAUUGGCCCUUCCUCGUGAUUAUUCCCAAUUUUGGAGUUGAAUCGCCCGGGACAGGUAGAGGUUUUCAGAAUGCUUGGCUUGUUUUGCUCUUUGCUGAUGAUGAAGGUGGUCGAUGCAACGAAAAAUUCGUAAUUCCAUUCGAGAAGAAGCUUUUUAUGUAAUUUUGCUGAGAUUUUGAUUUUCUCUUCCAGGUCUUUAGUAAAAGAAUGAAACGAAAUAGUGAUAAUUUUGUGUACUCGCCUAAGAUUAUUUGUCGUUUUUACGAGUGAAUGAAAAAAAAAAAACAAUUUGUGAAAGAUUUUAAAAAAUAAUUUAUAAAGUAUUUUGUAUGGCUUUUUGUUUAAUUAUUAGUGCUGUUACUUUUGGCUGUAGAUACUUACGUAUUUUCUCCUGUUCUGUUUUGCAUACGUUUUGAACUUAUUUGGUUUAAUUAAUUAGUACCUUGUAAUUCGUGUGAUUGAAUUUUUGUCAUUUAUUGUGCUUCAAAUACGUAGGUACCAAAGUACAUAUGUACCUAGCCUACAGUGGUUGAAUAAAAAUAUAUCAAAGUACCUAAUUUUUUACGUUGAUAAAUUUGAGUAUCGUUGAAAUUUUUAAAUCAUUUCUUUUUUUCUUUUUUGUUUGUUUGUGUGUUUGUUUUUUGUAAAUUUUAUUUUGUUAUGUGUUCAAUUUUCGAAUUGGUCGAAUAAAUUGUCAACGAACUAAAUUAAGACCUAAGAAUAUGCGAUGAAAGUUUUUUCAUGUUUCUGUUUUUGAAAUUCGUAGGUACCUUGUAUUUAUGAAAUCUAUUUAUUGAUCAAUUUUUUGUACGUAAUACAUUACGAAUGUUU
Long non-coding RNA from Planococcus citri (citrus mealybug), 1079 nucleotides. RefSeq lists it as uncharacterized. The record is from RefSeq and is a predicted model, not a curated record. The transcript is spliced from 2 exons. Lineage: Eukaryota; Metazoa; Arthropoda; Insecta; Hemiptera; Pseudococcidae.